RNAcentral lists this ribosomal RNA (492 nucleotides) under uncultured bacterium. RNAcentral's name for it is "partial 16S ribosomal RNA". It matches the Rfam family "Bacterial small subunit ribosomal RNA", at positions 29 to 507 of the family's 1533-position model. The record is from RNAcentral.
AGUGAACGCUGGCGGUAGGCCUAACACAUGCCAGUCGAACGGCAGCACAGUAAGAGCUUGCUCUUACGGGUGGCGAGUGGCGGACGGGUGAUGAAUACAUCGGAAUCUACUUUUUCGUGGGGGAUAACGUAGGGAAACUUACGCUAAUACCGCAUACGCCCUACGGGUGAAAGCAGGGGAUCUUCGGACCUUGCGCGAUUGAAUGCGCCGAUGUCGUAUUAGCUAGUUGGCGGGGUAAAGGCCCACCAAGGCGACGAUCCGUAGCUGGUCUGAGAGGAUGAUCAGCCACACUGGAAGUGAGACACGGUCCAGAGUCCUACGGGAGGCAGCAGUGGGGAAUAGUGGACAAUGGGCGCAAGCAUGAUCCAGCCAUACCGCGUGGGUGAAGAAGGCCUUCGGGUUGUAAAGCCCUUUUGUGGGGAAAGAAAAGCAGCAGGUUAAUACCCCGCUGUUCUGACGGUACCCAAAGAAUAAGCACCGGCUAACUUCGUG